CUCCUCUGAAGUUUCAUACUGAGCCCAGGAUAUGGAGCGCUACACGCUAAAAUAGUUGUUUAUGAACGCGAUGGAGACCUAGCGGUGUUAAGGAGAAUGCAAGGAAGCAAUCUUUUUCAUCUGUCUGUGAGCAGGAGUUUAAAGCCUGUUGUGGAGGGAAGAAAGAUGAAAUGCACAGAGCGGGGAGCACCUGAUCCCGGUUCUUCAUACACAAAUGCAUUUAUUUGCUCAUCUGGGAAACAGCAGCUUUGUGAGCAGGGAUGAAGGAUGUGGAUGGUGCUGUCCCUGCUGGAUAUCCUGGUCCUUGCAGAGCCCCAGGGGGCAGAGGCAGAUGUUCAGCAGCAAGGUGCUGCCUGCGUCUUUGUCUGCAGAGGCACUCAUUUCAGUCUCUCGCCUUUAAUUUGCCCAGAUGUUGAUUUUAAUUAAGCUCCUCAAGUUUCACGGUCUUUGAGAUCUCUUUCACUCUGUCAAUUUGUGUUGAAGCUGACAGGCAGCGUGAUCACAGACCUGCUUCUUCCUAAAUUCAGGCUAAUGUACGUGAGCAAAUGUGACUAUUUCCAAGCAGGGUUAAUGCAUUCACCUGGGGUGUGAGAUAUCAGCCAUGUCGCAUGUUAUCCAUCUGACCUUGAAUCUGGGAGUGCCAUAUGCUCGCUGAUGCUGGUAGCAAUUUUUUUCCCCUCGUUCACUUCAGUGGGUGUCUGAUCAGGGUCUUAAUCUGUGUGUGCCUGUAAUCCCAAUCAGCAAAUGGGCACACUCUUCGCUUUAUUUAAAAUACAAGCUUCUCAUGAUUGUCCUUUGUGCAAAUUCCAGGACAAUGUGGGGGUGGACGCCGCUUUCUGGAUCACCUGUUCCCAAUAAUGAAGACAAAGCCUUGCCACCCAUGCCUUAGGGAUGCUCCUAUUGGGGGUUUUCAGAGCAUGCCCAUGUCUUAUAAUUGUAGUAGCGUGCCUCCAUGGCCAUGUCUUACAGUUGUAUACCUAGUGUGCCCAAGGCAGAGAGCAUAACCCAGGGAAUAAGUUGGCCUUGUUCAGUGGGACAUACCUCCUCUAGCACUCAAGCAACUAUCUCCAUCUUUGUCUUUUCUGAGCGUGAUCAAUCUUUGCAAGAAUGUUUUAAGAAUAUUCUCUUUAAAUUUCCCAUGGAGAAAAAUGGUUAAUUUUGCUGGAGGAAACCUAGAGAAUAUUAGUGGCUUUAAAAAGUACUGAAAGAGAAGAGGGAGAAUGAUGACAAUACCAAAAAUUCCAAUUAACACUUUUGGAAAGAAAUCUGUUCUCCUCAGAUGUGUUUCUCUGAUCUUUUGACUGAGACCUGUGUCGUGGGUCUGAAUGCUGGUAUCUCUGCUCUUUCCAUAUACAGUGUGUCCCUGGCCUGGUUAUUUGAAUUCCCUAAGCCAGAAACUGCUUCAUUCAUUGCAGAUAUGUCAGCUCUGCUCCAGGCUCUGUAAUAAUAACUCUUUCACUUCAGCUGAUGAGAUCUAGAUAUCAAUCUUGCUGAGGUCACCAAAGGAAAAAAAAAAAAUGAGCUUGGUCACUUCUCCAUUGAAGAUUCAACAUGAGCCAUUUAUCUUCACCUAGGGGGUCUUGUUUUAUCUGAAUUGCACAAAAAAAAAAAAAAAAAGCACAUCUGAGAUUUCUCUGAGAUAAAAAAAAAAAACCCUCCUUGACACCAUUCAUUUUUGGUACCUACAAUGUCAUAGGGAUGAAGUAGCAAAAAGCAUCUUGCUUUAUUAAUGCCAACCAUGUCUGUUAGAAAGAAGCUAUGAGUCUGACCUGAGCUCUCCUCAAAUGCAAAGAACAAAAUCCCAGUACCCAGAGAUGUUACACAGAGCCUGUAACAGCCUUUUCUCUGGUGCUUGCUAAUACUGAGCGGAGAAAACGGAGUAAAUGAAUUCAAGUCUGUUUAUCCCCAUCUGGUUAGAUGAUGUGUUAUUGGCAGGCCUGGCUGAAUUUGCUUUGUGUGGCACCUUAUACAAGACACCUAAGGCAUAUGUCUUCCAGAUAAAAGCCAAGUCCCCUGAUUAAAGGGUCGAAGCAGAGUGCUGACAGUAGGAAGAUGAAGCAAGCUGUUACUGAGCUCUGCAGAGGGAUGGGAGUGGAGAUUUCAGAGCAAGACAGUGAAAAGCUGAGAAAAGAUGCAUUUCUUCCAGGCAGAGAUACACACACUGCUGAAUGAGACUCAAAAUCCUACCUCCAUUCACCUCCAAAAUACAAACCAGAGAGAAACUCCCACCAGGGCGCAAGUUUGAACAUAGGGAAGCUGUGGGGCAGUGCUGUGCUGCGCUCCUGAAGUGGGUCCUAUGGAUGUCACCAGUCUACCAGUUGUCUCUGCCACCACCUUUCCAUCCUUCCUCACUCCCAUCCUCAGGCAGGCUGUGAGGAAUGCAGGUCAUGAGCACAUGGGAUUUGGGCUGACCCAAGAAAGGUACCAACCAUCAUUAGAUGGC
Molecule: long non-coding RNA, 2443 nt
Organism: Lagopus muta (rock ptarmigan)
Lineage: Eukaryota; Metazoa; Chordata; Aves; Galliformes; Phasianidae
Exons: 3
Source: RefSeq, a predicted model, not a curated record